UACUGCAUUUUUUCUUACACAUGUGUUUUUCUCUUUUUGAAAACUUUGCUUUGGUAGGCCUUCAAUAUGGGGCCUGCCAGAGAUUAAACUCAACCAAAUUUUAUUUAAUGUCAACCGAUUAUUUAAUAGUCAAAACUUUCAACAACGGAUCUCUUGGUUCUCGCAUCGAUGAAGAACGCAGCGAAAUGCGAUAAGUAAUAUGAAUUGCAGAUAUUCGUGAAUCAUCGAAUCUUUGAACGCACAUUGCGCCCUUUGGUAUUCCAAAGGGCAUGCCUGUUUGAGCGUCAUUUCUCCCUCAAACCCUCGGGUUUGGUGUUGAGCGAUACGCUGGGUUUGCUUGAAAGAAAGGCGGAGUAUAAACUAAUGGAUAGGUUUUUUCCACUCAUUGGUACAAACUCCAAAACUUCUUCCAAAUUCGACCUCAAAUCAGGUAGGACUACCCGCUGAACUUAAGCAUAUCAAUAAGCGGAGG
Molecule: ribosomal RNA, 472 nt
Filed under: Lodderomyces parapsilosis
Lineage: Eukaryota; Fungi; Ascomycota; Pichiomycetes; Serinales; Debaryomycetaceae
Description: eukaryotic LSU rRNA
Rfam family: 5.8S ribosomal RNA (bases 134-287)
Source: RNAcentral